ACGGAUGGGCAUGCGGCGCAUUAGCUAGUCGGCGGGGUAACGGCCCACCGAGGCGACGAUGCGUAGGAGUUCUGAGAGGAAGGUCCCCCACACUGGUACUGAGACACGGACCAGACUCCUACGGGAGGCAGCAGUGAGGAAUAUUGGUCAAUGGGCGAGAGCCUGAACCAGCCAAGUCGCGUGAGGGAAGACGGUCCUAUGGAUUGUAAACCUCUUUUGUCGGGGAGCAAAAAGGCCUCGUGAGGCCACAAGUGAGAGUACCCGAAGAAAAAGCAUCGGCUAACUCCGUGCCAGCAGCCGCGGUAAUACGGAGGAUGCGAGCGUUAUCUGGAUUUAUUGGGUUUAAAGGGUGCGUAGGCGGACUGGAAAGUCAGCGGUAAAAUCGAGAGGCUCAACCUCUUUCCGCCGUUGAAACUGUCGGUCUUGAGUGGGCGAGAAGUAUGCGGAAUGCGUGGUGUAGCGGUGAAAUGCAUAGAUAUCACGCAGAACUCCGAUUGCGAAGGCAGCAUACCGGCGCCCGACUGACGCUGAGGCACGAAAGCGUGGGUAUCGAACAGGAUUAGAUACCCUGGUAGUCCACGCAGUAAACGAUGAAUACUAA
RNAcentral lists this ribosomal RNA (601 nucleotides) under uncultured bacterium. Its description in RNAcentral is "bacterial SSU rRNA". It matches the Rfam family "Bacterial small subunit ribosomal RNA", at positions 221 to 819 of the family's 1533-position model. The record is from RNAcentral.